Sphaeramia orbicularis (orbiculate cardinalfish) is the source of this 184-nucleotide long non-coding RNA. RefSeq lists it as uncharacterized. The record is from RefSeq and is a predicted model, not a curated record. Lineage: Eukaryota; Metazoa; Chordata; Actinopteri; Kurtiformes; Apogonidae. The transcript is spliced from 3 exons.
GUUUCCACAGUAUGUAUUUUCAUAUCAAGGUUCAAGGUUCCUUUCUUUCUACCCGUGGGUACAUUUGUUUUGCUGACAUAAUGAUUGCUUUUGGCAUUACAACAAAACAUACAUUGAACCUGUUCAGCAGGUACUUGAUCGAGCGUCCAGACAAGACAGAAAGUGCUCAGUGUUCCACCAUUCA